CAAUGACUGAAGUAUACAGUGGCAACUUGAAUGAGGAAGAAAAGGAGGAAUUAUUAACUAAGUAAGAGACAUUUUGAACACAUGAAGACACAGAGAAAUCGAUCAUUACAGGGAUCAGAGUGCUAAAGUGAAGUCAACAUUUAGCCAAUUCAGUCUAGAAAAAAAAUCGAGAGCCAGCCACCUUGUACCUUGAAGACCAAGUUUAUUACAAUUUUCCUUAUAUGCACACCAGCUUGGGGCAUUACCCUCACUAUGCACAGCAAGUUGGGCCCUUGUUAUUUUAAACAUCAAGGAAAUGUCAAAUUGCUUUGGCAUUUGCUCCGAGGGAUCAGGUACGCCCGAUAUUUCUUCUUGUCGAUGAAGCUCAACACUCAAAUAAAGGAGCAAACACAGUAACCAGUAUGUUGCAUCACCAUGGUCUUGGAGAAGUAUUGCAGUGGACAAAACAAGAACAACAAAUUCAUAAGGAUGGACAAAGACAAAGACAAUCCUGGUACUGUAUUCCUGCCAGAGACUUUUUCAACGUCCUCAAAGCUUGUGCUACAGUGGAUCCAAAUGCUCUUCCUACUUCGAUUCCUCCCAGGGGUCUAGAUGCACACAGGCAAGCAGUGGUAUCUGUAUGAAGAUGUGCUCCAUAUUGUUUGAACAAGGAAAGUUGCCCAAAUCCAGUUGUCUAAAAUCCCCUCAUCAAGAUAGAAUCUCCUGAUGACAUUGACUUGGAAGUGCAGGAAAUGCAAAAUGACUGGACACAAUAACUCAAAUUGUAGACACUAGUUGUUAGAUAUUAUCUUUCAUGACCUUUCUACUUGUUAAAAAUUAUUGAUAUUUUAAUUUGUUAUUUGCCAUUGU
Molecule: long non-coding RNA, 849 nt
Organism: Saccostrea cuccullata (small rock oyster)
Lineage: Eukaryota; Metazoa; Mollusca; Bivalvia; Ostreida; Ostreidae
Exons: 4
Source: RefSeq, a predicted model, not a curated record